This 253-nucleotide ribosomal RNA is filed under the name uncultured bacterium. Its description in RNAcentral is "partial 16S ribosomal RNA". It matches the Rfam family "Bacterial small subunit ribosomal RNA", at positions 524 to 776 of the family's 1533-position model. The record is from RNAcentral.
UACGUAGGGGGCAAGCGUUGUCCGGAAUUAUUGGGCGUAAAGCGCGCGCAGGCGGUUCCUUAAGUCUGAUGUGAAAGCCCACGGCUCCACCUUGGAGGGCCAUUGGAAACUGGGGGACUUGAGUGCAGGAGAGGAGAGUGGAAUUCCUGGUGUAGCGGUGAAAUGCGUAGAGAUCAGGAGGAACACCGAUGGCGAAGGCAGCUCUCUGGCCUGUAACUGACGCUGAGGCGCGAAAGCGUGGGGAGCAAACAGG